CCUACGGGGGGCAGCAGUGAGGAAUAUUGGUCAAUGGCCGGAAGCCUGAACCAGCCAAGCCGCGUGAGGGACGAAGGUGCCAAGCAUUGUAAACUUCUUUUGUCAAGGGACAAAAUCAGGCUCGCGAACCUGACCGCGGGUACUUUACGAAAAAGCACCGGCUAACUCCGUGCCAGCAGCCGCGGUAAUACGGAGGAUGCGGGCGUUACCCGGAUUUAUUGGGGUAAAGGGGGGCGUAGGGGGACUGUUAAGUCAGCGGGAAAAGCCCGGGGCUCACCCCCGGCGAGCCGUUGAAACUGGGUGUCUUGAGAGGGCGAGAGGUAGGCGGAAUGCGCAGUGUAGCGGUGAAAUGCUUAGAUAUUGCGCAGAACUCCGAUUGCGAAGGCAGCAUACCGGAGGCGAUCUGACGCUGAGGCACGAAAGCGUGGGUAUCGAACAGGAUUAGAUACCCUAGUAGUC
RNAcentral lists this ribosomal RNA (459 nucleotides) under uncultured bacterium. RNAcentral's name for it is "partial 16S ribosomal RNA". It matches the Rfam family "Bacterial small subunit ribosomal RNA", at positions 338 to 795 of the family's 1533-position model. The record is from RNAcentral.